AACUUUAGCUCUGUACUCGCGANAUGCAUCUAGAUUAGAGUUUGAUCAUGGCUCAGAUUGAACGCUGGCGGCAGGCCUAACACAUGCAAGUCGAGCGGACUGACCGGGAAGCAUUGCUCCUUAGUUCAGCGGCGGACGGGUGAGGUAAGUGCCGGUAGGAAUCAUGCCUGGUGUAGCUGGGGGAACAAGCGAUUUCNGAGAUGAGGAACGGUCGUAGAGUACCNGCANUUACGGUCGCUAGCGUGGAGAAUGAGGCAGUGGGGGAACCGUUCGAGGGCCUUUUGGCGNCUUANGUCAGGUGAUUUGUAUGGACCCCGUUAGGAGGGUGCUUCCGCAGUGAUGGAAAUGGNUUUUUAUUGCGCCUGUUNAGUGGUGAGANUUAUUUGCAUGGGUAGUUUGGUAUGUGGCUAUAUCUAGAGGGAUUNUGGGUAGUGUGNUGNAUUUUAUAAUAAGAAANACNAUUGGAUGGGUGCUAGUUUUUCCACAAAUGUCGUAGUCCGUAACUAUUAUUUGGUCUUGGCUAGUUCCAUUGCGNUGUAAAUGUACACAUCGUGUGAAAAUGGUGGUUUUCCCCUGCCCCUGUGGGGGAGUGUAUAUAUAAUAGUAGUGGCCCCUACGCAGUUUUUAGGUCGUCGUCGGNUAAGUAANUAUUUACCCCCACNAUUANUUUUGUAGGAGAGGAUGUAGUAAAAAAAAUUCUCGUNGGUGAGNGUUCNUAANAAAUAGUAUGANCGGAGUCGCGUAGUAAGUACGGUAGGGGGUUGAUGGAUUUAUNAUAGAAAGNCAGGUACUCUAUUAUAUNUGNUGGUGGGGAGGGNAAAGUUAUUAAAUCAGNAGUGCCGGGUGUNUUUNU
Molecule: ribosomal RNA, 853 nt
Filed under: uncultured bacterium
Lineage: Bacteria
Description: partial 16S ribosomal RNA
Source: RNAcentral